Molecule: non-coding RNA, 76 nt
Filed under: Emergencia timonensis
Lineage: Bacteria; Bacillati; Bacillota; Clostridia; Peptostreptococcales; Anaerovoracaceae
Description: Cyclic di-GMP-I riboswitch
Rfam family: c-di-GMP-I riboswitch aptamer
About the family: GEMM was predicted in a large-scale screen for bacterial structured RNA regulatory elements.
Source: RNAcentral
UUGGCAAAAUCAGGGAAAUCUGGUGACGCAAAGCCAAAGGGCCUAAUCUAUCAUAGAUGGGAUGGCAGCCGGUUGC